ACGCGCUACCAUGCAGUCGAGCGGAUGAAGAGAGCUUGCUCUCUGAUUCAGCGGCGGACGGGUGAGUAAUGCCUAGGAAUCUGCCUGGUAGUGGGGGACAACGUUUCGAAAGGAACGCUAAUACCGCAUACGUCCUACGGGAGAAAGCAGGGGACCUUCGGGCCUUGCGCUAUCAGAUGAGCCUAGGUCGGAUUAGCUAGUUGGUGAGGUAAUGGCUCACCAAGGCGACGAUCCGUAACUGGUCUGAGAGGAUGAUCAGUCACACUGGAACUGAGACACGGUCCAGACUCCUACGGGAGGCAGCAGUGGGGAAUAUUGGACAAUGGGCGAAAGCCUGAUCCAGCCAUGCCGCGUGUGUGAAGAAGGUCUUCGGAUUGUAAAGCACUUUAAGUUGGGAGGAAGGGUUGUAGAUUAAUACUCUGCAAUUUUGACGUUACCGACAGAAUAAGCACCGGCUAACUCUGUGCCAGCAGCCGCGGUAAUACAGAGGGUGCAAGCGUUAAUCGGAAUUACUGGGCGUAAAGCGCGCGUAGGUGGUUUGUUAAGUUGGAUGUGAAAGCCCCGGGCUCAACCUGGGAACUGCAUUCAAAACUGACAAGCUAGAGUAUGGUAGAGGGUGGUGGAAUUUCCUGUGUAGCGGUGAAAUGCGUAGAUAUAGGAAGGAACACCAGUGGCGAAGGCGACCACCUGGACUGAUACUGACACUGAGGUGCGAAAGCGUGGGGAGCAAACAGGAUUAGAUACCCUGGUAGUCCACGCCGUACACGAUGUCAACUAGCCGUUGGGAGCCUUGAGCUCUUAGUGGCGCACCUAACGCAUUAAGUUGACCGCCUGGGGAGUACGGCCGCAAGGUUAAAACUCAAAUGAAUUGACGGGGGCCCGCACAAGCGGUGGAGCAUGUGGUUUAAUUCGAAGCAACGCGAAGAACCUUACCAGGCCUUGACAUCCAAUGAACUUUCCAGAGAUGGAUUGGUGCCUUCGGGAACAUUGAGACAGGUGCUGCAUGGCUGUCGUCACCUCGUGUCCUGAAAUGUUGGGUUAAGUCCCGUAACAAACGCAACCCUUGUCCUUAUUACCACCCGUAAUGGUGGGCACCCUAAGGAAAUGCCGGC
Molecule: ribosomal RNA, 1112 nt
Filed under: Pseudomonas koreensis
Lineage: Bacteria; Pseudomonadati; Pseudomonadota; Gammaproteobacteria; Pseudomonadales; Pseudomonadaceae
Description: bacterial SSU rRNA
Rfam family: Bacterial small subunit ribosomal RNA
Source: RNAcentral